GACGAACGCUGGCGGCGUGCUUAACACAUGCAAGUCGAACGGAAAGGCCCUGCUUUUGUGGGGUGCUCGAGUGGCGAACGGGUGAGUAACACGUGAGUAACCUGCCCUUGACUUUGGGAUAACUUCAGGAAACUGGGGCUAAUACCGGAUAGGAGCUCCUGCUGCAUGGUGGGGGUUGGAAAGUUUCGGCGGUUGGGGAUGGACUCGCGGCUUAUCAGCUUGUUGGUGGGGUAGUGGCUUACCAAGGCUUUGACGGGUAGCCGGCCUGAGAGGGUGACCGGCCACAUUGCGACUGAGCUACGGCCCAGACUCCUACGGGAGGCAGCAGUGGGGAAGAUUGCACAAUGGGCGGAAGCCUGAUGCAGCAACGCCGCGUUCGGGAUGACGGCCUUCGGGUUGUAAACCGCUUUCGCCUGUGACGAAGCGUGAGUGACGGUAAUGGGUAAAGAAGCACCGGCUAACUACGUG
RNAcentral lists this ribosomal RNA (468 nucleotides) under uncultured bacterium. Its description in RNAcentral is "partial 16S ribosomal RNA". It matches the Rfam family "Bacterial small subunit ribosomal RNA", at positions 28 to 507 of the family's 1533-position model. The record is from RNAcentral.